UUAAGUCCGUAACGAGCGCAACCCUUGUCCUUAGUUACCAGCACGUUAUGUGGGCGACUCUAAGGAGACUGCCGGUGACAAACCGGAGGAAGGUGGGGAUGACGUCAAGUCAUCAUGGCCCUUACGGCCUGGGCUACACACGUGCUACAAUGGUCGGUACAAAGGGUUGCCAAGCCGCGAGGUGGAGCUAAUCCCAUAAAACCGAUCGUAGUCCGGAUCGCAGUCUGCAACUCGACUGCGUGAAGUCGGAAUCGCUAGUAAUCGUGAAUCAGAAUGUCACGGUGAAUACGUUCCCGGGCCUU
This 302-nucleotide ribosomal RNA is filed under the name uncultured Pseudomonas sp. RNAcentral describes it as "bacterial SSU rRNA". It matches the Rfam family "Bacterial small subunit ribosomal RNA", at positions 1080 to 1382 of the family's 1533-position model. Lineage: Bacteria; Pseudomonadati; Pseudomonadota; Gammaproteobacteria; Pseudomonadales; Pseudomonadaceae. The record is from RNAcentral.